GACGAACCACCCAAACGUUAUUCGGAAUCACUGGGCUUACAGAGUUCGUAGGCGGUCUGGAAAGUUGGGUGUGAAAUCCCUCGGCCUAACCGAGGAACUGCGCUUGAAACUACCAGACUCGAGGGAGAUAGAGGAAAGCGGAACUGAUGGUGGAGCGGUGAAAUGCGUUGAUAUCAUCAGGAACACCGGUGGCGAAGGCGGCUUUCUGGGUCUUACCUGACGCUGAGGAACGAAAGCCAGGGGAGCGAACGGG
This 253-nucleotide ribosomal RNA is filed under the name uncultured bacterium. Its description in RNAcentral is "partial 16S ribosomal RNA". It matches the Rfam family "Bacterial small subunit ribosomal RNA", at positions 524 to 776 of the family's 1533-position model. The record is from RNAcentral.